This 71-nucleotide transfer RNA is filed under the name Gigantopelta aegis. RNAcentral describes it as "tRNA-Phe". It matches the Rfam family "tRNA". Rfam says of the family: Transfer RNA (tRNA) molecules are approximately 80 nucleotides in length. Their secondary structure includes four short double-helical elements and three loops (D, anti-codon, and T loops). Lineage: Eukaryota; Metazoa; Mollusca; Gastropoda; Neomphalida; Peltospiridae. The record is from RNAcentral.
GCCGAGAUAGCUCAGUUGGGAGAGCGUUAGACUGAAGAUCUAAAGGUCCCUGGUCGAUCCCGGUCUCGGCA